This 733-nucleotide ribosomal RNA is filed under the name uncultured eukaryote. Its description in RNAcentral is "bacterial SSU rRNA". It matches the Rfam family "Bacterial small subunit ribosomal RNA", at positions 522 to 1266 of the family's 1533-position model. The record is from RNAcentral.
UAUACGGAGGAGCAGCGUUAUCCGGAUCAUCGGGCGUAAAGCGCCUGUAGGUUGUUUAAUAAGUCUGUUGUUAAAGCCUAGGGCUUAACCCUARAAAAGCAAUGGAAACUACUAKACUAGAGUAUGGCAGGGGUAGAGGGAAUUUCUAGUGUAGCGGUGAAAUGCGUAGAUAUUAGAAAGAACACCAGUGGCGAAAGCGCUCUACUGGACCAUUACUGACACUCAGAGGCGAAAGCUAGGGUAGCAAAAGGGAUUAGAUACCCCUGUAGUCCUAGCCGUAAACGAUGGAUACUAGAUGUUGUGCAUAGAGUACAGUAUCCUAGCUAACGCGUUAAGUAUCCCGCCUGGGGAGUACGCUCGCAAGGGUGAAACUCAAAGGAAUUGACGGGGGCCCGCACAAGCGGUGGAGCAUGUGGUUUAAUUCGAUACAACGCGAAGAACCUUACCAGGGCUUGACAUACUACGGAUUCUUUUGAGAAAAAGAAGUGCCUUCGGGAACGUAGAUACAGGUGGUGCAUGGCUGUCGUCAGCUCGUGUCGUGAGAUGUUGGGUUAAGUCCCGCAACGAGCGCAACCCUUAUUUUUAGUUACUAAUUCGUUAGGUUCUCUAGAAAGACUGCCGGUGACAAACCGGAGGAAGGUGAGGAUGACGUCAAGUCAGCAUGCCCCUUAUGCCCUGGGCUACACACGUGCUACAAUGGUUAAGACAAAGAGUCGCGAGCCUGUAAAAGUCA